RNAcentral lists this ribosomal RNA (670 nucleotides) under uncultured Bacteroidota bacterium. Its description in RNAcentral is "bacterial SSU rRNA". It matches the Rfam family "Bacterial small subunit ribosomal RNA", at positions 145 to 811 of the family's 1533-position model. The record is from RNAcentral. Lineage: Bacteria; Pseudomonadati; Bacteroidota.
AGCUCCGGGAAACCGGAAUUAAUACCCCAUAAUUUAUCAGAUGGACAUCCAUCAGAUAAUAAAGUUUCGGCGGUUAAGGAUGGGCAUGCGGCCCAUUAGCUUGUUGGUGAAGGUAACGGCUCACCAAGGCAACGAUGGGUAGCUGGUCUGAGAGGAUGAUCAGCCACACUGGCACUGAGAUACGGGCCAGACUCCUACGGGAGGCAGCAGUAGGGAAUAUUGGGCAAUGGGCGAGAGCCUGACCCAGCCAUGCCGCGUGCAGGAUUGAAUGCUCUAUGAGUUGUAAACUGCUUUUGUCUGUGACGAAUAAGCCUGUUUCUACGGGAAUUGACGGUAGCAGACGAAUAAGGACCGGCUAACUCCGUGCCAGCAGCCGCGGUAAUACGGAGGGUCCGAGCGUUAUCCGGAUUUACUGGGUUUAAAGGGUGCGUAGGUGGUUUGGUAAGUCAGUGGUGAAAUCUUCCGGCUUAACCGGGAAACUGCCAUUGAAACUACCAGGCUUGAGUGUCGUUGAGGCGAGUGGAAUGUAACAUGUAGCGGUGAAAUGCUUAGAUAUGUUACAGAACACCAAUUGUGAAGAUAGCUCGCUGGACGAUAACUGACACUGAGGCACGAAAGCGUGGGUAGCGAACAGGAUUAGAUACCCUGGUAGUCCACGCCCUAAACGAUG